CCAAUAGCGUAUAUUAAAGUUGUUGCAGUUAAAAAGCUCGUAGUUGAAUUUCGGGGUUCAUACGUUGGUCGGGCUAUUUGGUCUGUACUUAUGUAAUGGAUUCCUACCUUCUGAAUAACCGGCAUGCCAUUAAUUUGGUGCGCCGGGGAAGCAGGACUGUUACCUUGAAAAAAUUAGAGUGCUUAAAGCAGGCUAUCGCCUGAAUACAUUAGCAUGGAAUAGUGAAAUAGGACGGCAUGGUUCUAUUUUGUUGGUUUCUAGGAUCACCGUAAUGAUUAAUAGGGAUAGUUGGGGGCAUUAGUAUUCAAUUGUCAGAGGUGAAAUUCUUGGAUUUAUUGAAGACUAACUUCUGCGAAAGCAUUUGCCAAGGAUGUUUUCAUUAAUCAAGAACGAAAGUUAGGGGAUCGAAGACGAUCAGAUACCGUCGUAGUCUUAACCAUAAACUAUGCCGACUAGGGAUCGGACGAUGUUAAUUUUUUAAUGACUCGUUCGGCGCCUUACG
Molecule: ribosomal RNA, 502 nt
Filed under: uncultured Glomeromycotina
Lineage: Eukaryota; Fungi; Glomeromycota
Description: partial small subunit ribosomal RNA
Rfam family: Eukaryotic small subunit ribosomal RNA
Source: RNAcentral